GAUCUGGCUCAGGACGAACGCUGGCGGCGUGCUUAACACAUGCAAGUCGAACGAGAAUCUGCUGAAGGAGGAUUCGUCCAACGGAAGCAGAGGAAAGUGGCGGACGGGUGAGUAACGCGUGAGGAACCUGCCUUGAAGAGGGGGACAACAGUUGGAAACGACUGCUAAUACCGCAUGACGCAUAGAGGUCGCAUGAUCUUUAUGCCAAAGAUUUAUCGCUUCAAGAUGGCCUCGCG
RNAcentral lists this ribosomal RNA (236 nucleotides) under uncultured bacterium. RNAcentral describes it as "partial 16S ribosomal RNA". It matches the Rfam family "Bacterial small subunit ribosomal RNA", at positions 15 to 235 of the family's 1533-position model. The record is from RNAcentral.